CUUCUCCAAUUGACAGGACUGCACCAUUCUACAUAACCAACCAGAAAAUGAACCUGCUUCACUGAUGCAGUACUGAAACACAAUCAUCUCUAAUCCUUAGAGUUGUUGCUGGCUGAAGUGUAGAUUAAAGUGCAAGCAUGGAGAAGGUAUGCAGGCUAUCCUCAUUGGAUCGGGUGUUUAACCGCCCUUCUUCGGCCACCCUCUCUUGGAACAGUCGCAGUGCUCUCUGCCAUCUAUGGCCAUUUCGCGCCGGAGCAUCAGAGAAGAUCACACGGUUUAGUCGAAAGAAGAAGAGCCUCAGUGCGAAGACCAUGUCGGUAUAGGAUCCCCUCAUCCGCACUGCAAGUGGAAGCUU
Molecule: long non-coding RNA, 355 nt
Filed under: Elaeis guineensis (African oil palm)
Lineage: Eukaryota; Viridiplantae; Streptophyta; Magnoliopsida; Arecales; Arecaceae
Description: long non-coding RNA (EGUI_LNC023916)
Source: RNAcentral